AAUAUUUGAUUAAAGACACACAUGAAGAAAGAUAACAAAAAUGUCUAUAACAAGACAUUAAGGGUUUGAAUGGUUACGGCGGACAAAACCUCCGAUCAUACCACUUUUUAUUUACUAUUCAUCAAUUAUAAUCCACAGUGGUCUGGACCAAAAAAGAUAAAAGAAAACCGCAGCGGCUUAUCUGCGGACCGCUUUUACAUACAAAUAAACUUGGUCCACAACGGUUUAUUGUCUGCUUCAAAAAUGAAGUAGACUAAACCGUAGACAAAUUAGACCGCUUUGUCCGUUACAUCCAUUCAAAGAGUAAAGACAUCUUUAAAGACACUCUUGAUUGAUCAAGACUUUUGACCUAGAAUCUAAAAACGAAGAAGAAGCCAAAUAAGAUCGAAAGAGAGGUAAUUUAGACACCAUUAAUUGUUCGCAAUGUU
RNAcentral lists this small RNA (428 nucleotides) under Arabidopsis thaliana (thale cress). Its description in RNAcentral is "ATSL022450". Lineage: Eukaryota; Viridiplantae; Streptophyta; Magnoliopsida; Brassicales; Brassicaceae. The record is from RNAcentral.